Long non-coding RNA from Oncorhynchus tshawytscha (Chinook salmon), 2819 nucleotides. The record is from Ensembl. NCBI's taxonomy places the organism in Eukaryota, Metazoa, Chordata, Actinopteri, Salmoniformes, Salmonidae.
GGUGAACCAGGUAAGGCAAUCAUUUGAGAAACCAAGGCUGUCGAGUCUGCCGAUGAGGAUGUGGUGAUUGACAGAGUCGAAAGCCUUGGCCAGAUCAAUGAAUACAGCUGCACAGUAAUGUUUCUUAUCGAUGGCGGUUAAGAUAUCGUUUAGGACCUUGAGCAUGGCUGAGGUGCACCCAUGACCAGCUCUGAAACCAGAUUGCAUAGCAGAGAGGGUAUGGUGAGAUUCGAAAUGGUCGUAAUCUGUUUGUUGACUUGGCUUUCGAAGACCUUAGAAAGGCAGGGUAGGAUAUAUAUAGGUCUGUAGCAGUUUGGGUCAAGAGUGUCCCCCCCCUUUGAAGAGGAGGAUGACCGCAGCUGCUUUCCAAUCUUUGGGAAUCUCAGACGACACGAAAGAGAGGUUGAACAGGCUAGUAAUAGGGGUGGCAACAAUUUCGGCAGAUCAUUUUUGACAGAAAGGGUCCAGAUUGUCUAGCCCUGCUGAUUUGUAGGGGUCCAAAUUUUGAAGCUCUUUCAGAACAUCAGCUGACUGGAUUUGGGAGAAGGAGAAAUGGGGAAGGCUUGGGCGAGUUGCUGUGGGGGGUGCAAUGCUGUUGACCGGGGUCUACAGGGACAUCAUCGCAUGGAGACAAUACCUUCUAGCCCCAAGAACAGCUCAACAACUCCCCCUGUUCCAGAUGACCCCCACCUGCCCGAAGGCUAUGAAACAUUCCCCCAGAGUGCUCCAUGUUUCCAUAAAGCAUCAGGCUCCCCCCAGGAGGAUUUGUCUCCUGUCCCUUCACCUGUACCAUGUAUGUAUCAGGAACACAGUGAUUCUCAGGCUGAUGAAGAGGAGGAGGACAAGGCCCCUGCAUCUGAAGAUGAUGAAGGAGGAGGUCCCAGAGAGGAGGAAGAGGAUGGAGAUUAUGAGGAGACCGUGGUAGAGCCCAGGCCUCUGAAUGAGUUUGCAUCUCUAACAGACAGAACCAGCCCCUGGACCAGCCUGCUGUCAGACCCAGACCUAGCCUCUCUGGAGAGUCUGGAGACACCAGAGGAGCGCCAAGCCUUGGACUACUCCUACCACCCCAGUCUCACCCAACAGGAGGGGGAGAGGUCUGAUCUGCAGACUGACACCCUGCAGGCUUGGAGGUCUAGUGAGGCCAUAGGCAGCAGACUAGAGGAGAGGGAGCAACAUGUUAACUCUGAAUUCUCUCAUGGACCAGACACAGAUGAGGAGGAAGACACUGUGAGUGAUGGUGAGAGGACACUCCAAACCUCUGACAAUGAGGCAGCACUACAUCAGGAGUCCAUCACUGCUGCUCUACACGAACAGUCCUUAUUGUGUAGUGGAGAGACUGCUAGCAGGGUUCCUGGUGACAGAGAAGCUCUGUCAGAGGUUGAGACCUCCGGGUUGUUGUACGACACAGCUGCUUUCUCAGAAGAGGACACAGAACAUGUUGUCACAUCUGACACAUAUCAGCCAGAAACGUUCCUACACAAAGAAGACAACAGGAAGUCUAAACACUCUGACCCUGUGGAGAUCCCUAAUUUCUUCCUCUCAUCUCACCACAUGGAGGCUUCUAUGAGAGCGCUACGCAUAGCACCUGUCUUCCCCCUGGCCUCUUCUGACCCAAAAAAGAGCUCUCUUAGACAUGGGAUUCUCUGUCGGCGCGUUCCUCGUCCCAGGCCCAAUAUACCACCGUCGUCCAUGAAGAAAGAAGAGACCAAGAGAAUAGCAAAGAUAUUUGCAUCUCAUUUUAAAGACUAAUAUUAGCACUUUCUUUAAAUGCUAUUUGAUAUUGUGUGUCGUGCUGUAUAUACGGUUGGGUGUAUGUUUUCUAAAGGUUUAUGAAUGACCACACAUCUUGAUUACAUAAGUGGCAGCUCAUGGACAGUGCUUUCUAAUUAUGUAAAGAAUAUGUACAUUUCAUUUAAGUAGUUUUUCUAUUGUUUUUAUAAAUUAAAUGGUUUUGCCAGUGUAACUGAUAUUUUAUUUAUUUAUUAUUAGGUGUGUACCCAUGAUCACUGAUGUGGGAGACUCACAUAGCCUUUUAAGGAUUAUUGUCACAGGGGAAAACAUUUUUUCUAAUAGUCAAAAGGGUAUCAAGUGUUGACCCCCUUGUCCAUUAGUCCUUGUUUUUCCAACAAAGUGAUGAACAGUUUGUUCUUAAAGUGAUGUCACCUUUGUUUGGAUUUCAGUAGCUGUCAUGGUAAGUGGGCUGGUGUUAGGAUAUGUAUGUAAUAGUUGUAUGUUGUUCUAUUCUCUGCGUCACCAGGCAGUCACACACUAUUCAAGAGCCGCUUCUGUUCCUGAAACCAGAGACUAGGAACUUCUGACAGUGAAAACAUGCACUAGCUCAGGCACACAGCCUCUCAGGGACAUGUAUGGAUUGGCUCAGCGGAUGGGUGCAUGGGCGUUUUUAUAUAUAUAUAAUUAUGGAGUGUUACAUAAUUAUUAUAAAGUCUAAAUUAGCUCUGUGCUAUUUCAACAAGUCUUAUUGCCUUGGCUCCCUGCUGAAAUGAAAUUCAUUGGAUGUAAUACCUUUUGAGUUUAAGACAACUACUGUAUCUUGCAUAUCGGCUGUUCAUUGUAACUGAAAAUGACCAAUUACAUAAUAAAUGAUGUAUCAAAGAGUGUUGCAUUUUUGCGCAGAUAUAAUUAAAUGCAUGUUUUUUUAAGGUUCAACAGAACAUUGACUGUUGUAAACUGAGGCUGACUGACAUAAUGUCGCAUACUGUCUUGUACUCCCAAAAGGGAGAAAUAGUUUACAUGAACUUUCAUCAUGGUUUGAACAUUUUUGGAGUAAUUUUUUUAAAUAAAAAAAAAACCUAAAUGCA